This 84-nucleotide transfer RNA is filed under the name Salinivirgaceae bacterium. RNAcentral's name for it is "tRNA-Leu". It matches the Rfam family "tRNA". From Rfam's summary of the family: Transfer RNA (tRNA) molecules are approximately 80 nucleotides in length. The record is from RNAcentral. Lineage: Bacteria; Pseudomonadati; Bacteroidota; Bacteroidia; Bacteroidales; Salinivirgaceae.
GCCUAAGUGGCGGAAUUGGUAGACGCGCUAGUUUCAGGGACUAGUGUUAGCAAUAACGUGCAGGUUCGAGUCCUGUCUUAGGCA